ACGGGUGAGUAAUACAUCGGAACGUACCCAGUCGUGGGGGAUAACUAACCGAAAGGUUAGCUAAUACCGCAUACGACCUGAGGGAGAAAGCGGGGGACCGUAAGGCCUCGCGCGAUUGGAGCGGCCGAUGUCUGAUUAGCUAGUUGGUGAGGUAAAGGCUCACCAAGGCGACGAUCAGUAGCAGGUCUGAGAGGAUGAUCUGCCACACUGGAACUGAGACACGGUCCAGACUCCUACGGGAGGCAGCAGUGGGGAAUUUUGGACAAUGGGGGAAACCCUGAUCCAGCCAUUCCGCGUGAGUGAAGAAGGCCUUCGGGUUGUAAAGCUCUUUCGGCAGGGAAGAAACGCUCUGGAAUAAUACUCCGGGGUAAUGACGGUACCUGAAGAAGAAGCACCGGCUAACUACGUGCCAGCAGCCGCGGUAAUACGUAGGGUGCGAGCGUUAAUCGGAAUUACUGGGCGUAAAGCGUGCGCAGGCGGUUUUGUAAGACAGGUGUGAAAUCCCCGGGCUUAACCUGGGAACUGCGCUUGUGACUGCAAGACUCGAGUACGGCAGAGGGGGGUAGAAUUCCACGUGUAGC
RNAcentral lists this ribosomal RNA (581 nucleotides) under uncultured Rhodocyclaceae bacterium. Its description in RNAcentral is "bacterial SSU rRNA". It matches the Rfam family "Bacterial small subunit ribosomal RNA", at positions 102 to 679 of the family's 1533-position model. Lineage: Bacteria; Pseudomonadati; Pseudomonadota; Betaproteobacteria; Rhodocyclales; Rhodocyclaceae. The record is from RNAcentral.